CUCUACGUCUCGCAAGAGCUAUAGGAAGACUUUUAUCGUUUCUAAGGUAGCUCCACAGCUCCGCGAGCUCCGCCAUUGUUGGAGUGUAACUACACACACUUACAAAAUCCAAUAGAAGCGAGAAGAAGGGGGACAAAAGAGGACAACCAUGACGGGCCUCCCCAUCCUUGCGCCACAUGGCCACAAUUUAAAUCGCCUAGGGGGGACCGUACAUUGUCGCCACCAAAGAAAUCGAUACCCUCUUUGUUGGCGUAACGCUGGAAAGGCUUUGUGCCGCUAUCACGGCAUAUUCCCUG
This is a long non-coding RNA of Selaginella moellendorffii, 296 nucleotides long. RefSeq lists it as uncharacterized. The transcript is spliced from 2 exons. Lineage: Eukaryota; Viridiplantae; Streptophyta; Lycopodiopsida; Selaginellales; Selaginellaceae. The record is from RefSeq and is a predicted model, not a curated record.